This 645-nucleotide ribosomal RNA is filed under the name Salmonella enterica. RNAcentral's name for it is "partial 23S ribosomal RNA". It matches the Rfam family "Bacterial large subunit ribosomal RNA", at positions 2261 to 2900 of the family's 2925-position model. The record is from RNAcentral. RNAcentral also lists the same sequence under 1 other name. Lineage: Bacteria; Pseudomonadati; Pseudomonadota; Gammaproteobacteria; Enterobacterales; Enterobacteriaceae.
GUGGGUAGUUUGACUGGGGCGGUCUCCUCCUAAAGAGUAACGGAGGAGCACGAAGGUUGGCUAAUCCUGGUCGGACAUCAGGAGGUUAGUGCAAUGGCAUAAGCCAGCUUGACUGCGAGCGUGACGGCGCGAGCAGGUGCGAAAGCAGGUCAUAGUGAUCCGGUGGUUCUGAAUGGAAGGGCCAUCGCUCAACGGAUAAAAGGUACUCCGGGGAUAACAGGCUGAUACCGCCCAAGAGUUCAUAUCGACGGCGGUGUUUGGCACCUCGAUGUCGGCUCAUCACAUCCUGGGGCUGAAGUAGGUCCCAAGGGUAUGGCUGUUCGCCAUUUAAAGUGGUACGCGAGCUGGGUUUAGAACGUCGUGAGACAGUUCGGUCCCUAUCUGCCGUGGGCGCUGGAGAACUGAGGGGGGCUGCUCCUAGUACGAGAGGACCGGAGUGGACGCAUCACUGGUGUUCGGGUUGUCAUGCCAAUGGCACUGCCCGGUAGCUAAAUGCGGAAGAGAUAAGUGCUGAAAGCAUCUAAGCACGAAACUUGCCCCGAGAUGAGUUCUCCCUGAGACUUUAGGUCUCCUGAAGGAACGUUGAAGACGACGACGUUGAUAGGCCGGGUGUGUAAGCGCAGCGAUGCGUUGAGCUAACCGGUA